RNAcentral lists this ribosomal RNA (311 nucleotides) under uncultured eukaryote. RNAcentral describes it as "partial 18S ribosomal RNA". It matches the Rfam family "Eukaryotic small subunit ribosomal RNA", at positions 1470 to 1796 of the family's 1831-position model. The record is from RNAcentral.
CCCCUAGACGUUCUGGGCUGCACGCGCGCUACAAUAAUACGCACAGCGAGUAUCACCGAGCUCGAAAGGGCAAGGUAAACAAUAGAAAAGGUACUGUAAUGGUUAUAGAUCCCUGUAAUUAUUGAUCUUCAACGAGGAAUUCCUAGUAAGUAUGUGUCAUCAUCACGCACUGAUUACGUCCCUGCCCUUUGUACACACCGCCCGUCGCUCCUACCGAUUGAGUGAGCCGAUGAAACUGCCGGAUGUGGACUAUUCAUAGUCUGCAGAAGAUAUUUGAAUCGUAGCGCUUAGAGGAAGGAGAAGUCGUAACA